AGUGAACGCUGGCGGUAGGCCUAACACAUGCAAGUCGAACGGCAGCACAGUAAGAGCUUGCUCUUACGGGUGGCGAGUGGCGGACGGGUGAGGAAUACAUCGGGAUCUACUUUUUCGUGGGGGAUAACGUAGGGAAACUUACGCUAAUACCGCAUACGACCUACGGGUGAAAGCAGGGGAUCUUCGGACCUUGCGCGAUUGAAUGAGCCGAUGUCGGCUUAGCUAGUUGGCGGGGUAAAGGCCCACCAAGGCGACGAUCCGUAGCUGGUCUGAGAGGAUGAGCAGCCACACUGGAACUGAGACACGGUCCAGACUCCUACGGGAGGCAGCAGUGGGGAAUAUUGGACAAAGGGCGCAAGCCUGAUCCAGCCAUACCGCGUGGGUGAAGAAGGCCUUCGGGUUGUAAAGCCCUUUUGUUGGGAAAGAAAAGCAGCAGGUUAAUACCCCGCUGUUCUGACGGUACCCAAAGAAUAAGCACCGGCUAACUUCGUG
This 492-nucleotide ribosomal RNA is filed under the name uncultured bacterium. Its description in RNAcentral is "partial 16S ribosomal RNA". It matches the Rfam family "Bacterial small subunit ribosomal RNA", at positions 29 to 507 of the family's 1533-position model. The record is from RNAcentral.